GCUUCCGUAGCGCAGCUGGUAGCGCAACUGAUUCGUAAUCAGUAGGUCAGGGGUUCGAUUCCCCUCGGGAGCU
RNAcentral lists this transfer RNA (73 nucleotides) under Bacillota bacterium. RNAcentral's name for it is "tRNA-Thr". It matches the Rfam family "tRNA". From Rfam's summary of the family: Transfer RNA (tRNA) molecules are approximately 80 nucleotides in length. Their secondary structure includes four short double-helical elements and three loops (D, anti-codon, and T loops). Lineage: Bacteria; Bacillati; Bacillota. The record is from RNAcentral.